RNAcentral lists this ribosomal RNA (473 nucleotides) under uncultured organism. RNAcentral's name for it is "partial 16S ribosomal RNA". It matches the Rfam family "Bacterial small subunit ribosomal RNA", at positions 333 to 797 of the family's 1533-position model. The record is from RNAcentral.
ACACUCCUACGGGAGGCAGCAGUGGGGAAUUUUGGACAAUGGGGGCAACCCUGAUCCAGCAAUGCCGCGUGAGUGAAGAAGGCCUUCGGGUUGUAAAGCUCUUUUGUCAGGGAAGAAACGGUGGUGGCGAAUAACUACUACUAAUGACGGUACCUGAAGAAUAAGCACCGGCUAACUACGUGCCAGCAGCCGCGGUAAUACGUAGGGUGCAAGCGUUAAUCGGAAUUACUGGGCGUAAAGCGUGCGCAGGCGGUUGUGUAAGUCAGAUGUGAAAUCCCCGGGCUCAACCUGGGAAUUGCAUUUGAGACUGCACGGCUAGAGUGUGUCAGAGGGGGAUAGAAUUCCACGUGUAGCAGUGAAAUGCGUAGAUAUGUGGAGGAAUACCGAUGGCGAAGGCAGCCCCCUGGGAUAACACUGACGCUCAUGCACGAAAGCGUGGGGAGCAAACAGGAUUAGAUACCCUUGUAGUCCCA